AUGGAACCACAAACACGUGCGGCGGCGGCUGUGAUUCGAAUCGCUCAACGGUGCAGCACGUUGGCUUCUCCUCUCCUCGCAUCGAUAGCAAAACAGCAGUUUUAUCUUGUGGAAACUGAAGACAUCUACUAUACGCGUAUGGUUUUUCUUCGGAAUGUCAACUUGACGGGAGGAACAACGACAAGUCUUUGCAUGUGCUUCUCUCCCGUUCACCUCGCCAUUCCGCCAGAUAGGGCGGGCGAGAGUGAACGGCGACACACACGUGCAUGUGAGCCUCGUCUAGAGCCGGAGCCGACCACCACACAAUAA
This 309-nucleotide ribosomal RNA is filed under the name Triticum aestivum (bread wheat). RNAcentral describes it as "partial small subunit ribosomal RNA". Lineage: Eukaryota; Viridiplantae; Streptophyta; Magnoliopsida; Poales; Poaceae. The record is from RNAcentral.